AUAGCCUUGAUGAAAAAAAAGGAAUUGUUAAUAAUUGACCCCUUGUGUGAUGAGAUCAGAUAUGAAAGAACAUGCCUGAGGAAUUGGAGAAACUUCAUCAAACAAUUAACUAGUAAAUCCUCAUCUGAUUGGAACAGUAAAAUUGUGGAGCAUCCCAGACAAAGUGAUGGUCACAACUGUGGACCACUCAUCUUAAAGUUUGCAGAAACAUAUUUGCAGCACAAAGACAUCUGUACGGUGGAAACAACACAGAAGGCUAAUACUGCGUUUAGAAGACAUAUAGCAAUUCUUCUAAUGAAGGAGUCAGAAAGCGUGGAGGACUACUGCAUAUACUGCAACCUUAUCGACUGUGAAAAAGAAAGUGAGGAUUGCACGAUGCAAAGGUCCAGUGUGAUUCUUGCAAGAGGUGGGCACAUAUACCAUGCAUUACAAAAGGAAACAAUCAAGAAAACCUGACAUAUGAGAAGAAAGAGUACAACUUCAAGACAUGUGCAUAGUUCACUUCAUUAACAAAAAGAAAAAAGGCAAUAAAGAAAACCCAUUGCUUAACUGCCUCUUGUUCAAAACAUAAUGCAACCCAAAGAAAUAUAUUUCUAUGUAUACAUCAG
This 608-nucleotide long non-coding RNA is filed under the name Gopherus evgoodei (Goodes thornscrub tortoise). RNAcentral describes it as "lncRNA (ENSGEVG00005008979.1)". Lineage: Eukaryota; Metazoa; Chordata; Testudines; Testudinidae. The record is from RNAcentral.